CCUGCUGUGCGACCAGCAGUAGCUUAGGAGGACAUGCGUCACUGGCAACGGUGGGGUGUGAAGCUUCUCUGACAAUAGGUCCCGGGCAACCGGUGGGUGUGCGUCGCGAGACUCGCACUUAGAUUCUCCCAGCAGCGAGGGGGUUGAGACC
This 151-nucleotide non-coding RNA is filed under the name Paraburkholderia sabiae. The record is from RNAcentral. Lineage: Bacteria; Pseudomonadati; Pseudomonadota; Betaproteobacteria; Burkholderiales; Burkholderiaceae.